GGAUGUAUCUUUUCCUUUCUACAUCCGCUGCUG
RNAcentral lists this non-coding RNA (33 nucleotides) under unclassified sequences. The record is from RNAcentral.